Molecule: non-coding RNA, 581 nt
Organism: Meleagris gallopavo (turkey)
Lineage: Eukaryota; Metazoa; Chordata; Aves; Galliformes; Phasianidae
Source: RefSeq, a predicted model, not a curated record
GGGCCUGGAGGCUCGGAGCAGACGUGGCUGCAGAUCGAGGAGAUCUUAAGCGGUGAAAGAUGUUAGACGCUGUCCGAUAACUGCGCGAGAUGGUUUACAAGUAAAAUGCGAGAAGCUGGAAUUCGGAAAGGGAAGAGGAAGUAUUGCAGAAAGGGAAAGCGGCCGAAGUGGAAGCGCUCCCUGUAUCUGACCCGUGUGCGCUGUGGGACCUCGGGGAUCCGGAUGCCCUCGGGCUGAGCUGUGUGUCUGUCCCCAGGCGGGCCGGCAGACCUACGUGGACCCAGCCACGGGCUACCAGGUGCUCACCGAGGCCGCCCACUUGCGGAGAGGUAAAUGCUGUGGCUCUGCGUGCAGACAUUGUCCAUAUGAGCAAGUUAACGUAAGAGACCAGUCGAAAAAGAAGCGCUUCAACUCUUUUUUCUAUGUGUGACCAUGAACGCCUCUGUACUCAGCGAGAACGGCUGCAGGACCUGAGCACACCUUGUAGCUCCACGUGGCUGCCACCAGCAGCACACUGCCAUGCCUGCAGCCGGCACACGGUGACUGCGCUUUCAUUGCAAUAAAGCACCAACUGAACGGUG